This is a long non-coding RNA of Vespa velutina, 2584 nucleotides long. RefSeq lists it as uncharacterized. The transcript has 2 exons. NCBI's taxonomy places the organism in Eukaryota, Metazoa, Arthropoda, Insecta, Hymenoptera, Vespidae. The record is from RefSeq and is a predicted model, not a curated record.
UUUGUUAUUAUUUGGGAUCUUAUACGAGUAUAUAACGUAAUUAUUAUACUGUCGAUUCUCGAACGUAACCGACGGGAAAAGGAUUGAUGAUAGUGUACACAAGCAGAUACCGGUUAUCUUAUAUUUUUGCAUAAAAUUUAGCUUAUUUUGUCGUACAUUAUAAAACUGAAUCUGAUAACAGAAAUUAACAAGAAUAUUCAUCUAAUAUGAUUUGUUUCAGUGACUAGUAAGUGUAGGAAUUUAUAUGCAUUGUUCGUGAAACAAUGUAUGUCUAUUUCGACAAAGUUCCUAGCAUUAGAUUAGAAACGUGUAAGCCUGAUUCGUAUUGCCAAUCGUAUCUCAUCUCUUUUUUUUCUUUCUCCUUUAUAAAUUCUAGUUCCCACCAUAUUGAAAUUAUCUGCUGUUUAUUCGUGGAUCGUUAGAUUGCAAGAGUCACGAUACUUCUGUCUCAUCACAAAGAAAGAAUUUGUAUUUAUAUAUUACUCAUUCGAGAUGUACACAUUGGUUAACAUUGAAAGAGUACGAAUAUUCAAGGAGAAUUAAAUUGAAUAACAAAAUUAAAAAAAAAUCAUUUCUCUCUCGACGAAAAAUUUCUACGUUUCUGCAUUAGAUAAUAGCUAUACGAAUGAUUUUACUUCAUGAAAAUAUCAGUUUAAAUCGAAAAGUAUCAAUACCGAAAGGAAUAUCAUCUCUCUCUCUCUCUCUUUCUCUCUUGCGUUUCUUACAUUUCGUACAUUUAUAUAGAAAAUGUAAAAUGUCAGCAACAGAUCUCCCCAUAUAGACGAGAUAUUGAGCGAUAGAGAAAUUCUAGAGUAUUUUCAAUAAAUUUCUAUGAUGAAAACAGUUCGCAAUGGACUCGCGAUAACAAAUAAUCGAGAAAUACUUAAAACAAUGUGAAUCAUCAUAGUUAAGUCACGUUUUCAUUACGCAUUAUACCAGAUAUUGUGUUCUUCGAAUGAUAUAAAUCGAAAUUUUUUUUUCUGGAAGGAAAAUCAAUAACAAACUUUUUAUCAAUGAUCGAUAAUAAUUGUUAAAUUGAAAAUAAUAACAAUAAUAUAACGACAUAACAAAUUGCUAAUAGAAAAAUUAAUUAACGAAUAGCGCUUAGAUCAACAUAUUCUUUUAUGAACAUGGAUCAAAAGUAUUUGUGUGUAUGUAUAACAUAUUGUAACUUUAUGCAUAUUAGAAUCUUUCAGUAAACGUAAAUGCUAUAGUGUUAUCGUUCACUCGUUACUUAUUAUUUGUUUUUUUUCCCUUGAACCAGUUUGUAUUAGCAAAAGAAAUGCGUUACUGCACGACAUACACAAAAUAUCACUAGUGAUUAUCAAGAAUCAUGCUUUGAGAAAGCUCGUUUCUCGCUGUAUAUUAGCAAGUGUCAAGUAAAUGUUUGCUUCACUUUGUAAUGUCAAACUACAUGUGUACGCAUAGUGCAUAUCAUUUAUUGCGCUCGUAAUGUUUUCCUUUUUAGCGAAUUAUUUAAUAAACGGAAUAGAAAAUCAUAUAGAUAGUGACAAACACGUUGAGAAGAGAAUGAACGAUGAGCCUUCAAUCUAUGUAACUAAUCGAAAGGUAUAAUAGUAAAUACGAAACAUUCUGAUUAAUUGUUUUCGACAGAUAGGUUGAAUUCUCAAGAUCGUAUUUUCGAUAAAUUUUCAUAAGAUUUUGGUUCUCGCAUGUGUCACGAUCGUAACGCAAGUUUAUCGAUAAAUUAUACAAAUCAAUACUCUUGGGAAUAUGUGUCGAUCGGGGUUGGCUAAGGUUUAGUAUUUUGUUACGUGGAAACGUUCGAAGUAUGUACAUAUAUACAUAUGUAUGUCUGCAAACUGCAGACGAAAAUCCGUAAGAGAACAGCUGGUUUGGCCGAGAUAAUCCGAAAGUACGGAACUGGAAAUUUGAGGCGUUAGAGACAAAGAAACGAAAGAAGGUGGAAGAAUUCUAGGAAGAAACCUUUAUUUUUACUGACACGAGUUUGUGUUUUCUUUACGUCAUCUCACAGUUUGCUCGAACCUUUACAAUACGAUAAGAUUUCGAUUUUCGAAGUAUAUCUUAUAUAAGAGAAAAUUUCUAUCGUAUUGAUAAUGUACAUCGCAAUCUUUGCGUUUUCUUUCACGCUUAUUAUCGAUUCAAACAAUUCCAAGAUAAAUUUAUUUUUUGUACCAUUUAUUCGAAGUAUAAGUUGUAAAUUGAUAAAAUAUUCACUUAGAAAAUUCUAUAGAGAUUACGAGGUAAUGGAUCAUGCUAAAAUAUUGAAAUCUCUUUGUUAAUCAUAUUCAUAUAUCAAACAUUUACAGUUGGCAUUUCAAUAUGGCAACGAUGUCAAAUACAUACGCAUAUAAAAUUAUUCAGACAAAAGAAAAAAAAAGAAAAAAAGAAAAAGAAAAGAAAAAAGAACAUGUAGAUAUAAAUAUAAAAAGAAAGAAAGCAUAAGAAUAAAACGAUAAGAAAGGAAAAUAAUAAAAGUUAGUACCAGGUAAAUCAAAAAUCUCGUAUCGGCUCGAAGUUGGAAGGUUUAACCGUGACUUUAGCGAAUCGCGAGGCUCUUGAAGGAUCGUCUUGAGAGGAGGGGAUCAUCGACGGAUGGAAA